CGUAGGUGGCAAGCGUUGUCCGGAUUUAUUGGGUUUAAAGGGUGCGUAGGUGGUCUAUUAAGUCAGUGCUGAAAUAUCCCGGCUUAACCGGGAGGGUGGCAUUGAUACUGAUGGACUUGAGUGAAGUCGAGGUAGGCGGAAUUGACGGUGUAGCGGUGAAAUGCUUAGAUAUCGUCAAGAACACCGAUAGUGUAGACAGCUUACUAGGCUUUAACUGACACUGAGGCACGAAAGUGUGGGGAUCAAACAGGAUUAGAUACCCUGGUAGUCCACACUGUAAACGUUGAUGACUCGCUGUUGGCGAUACACAGUCAGCGGCUUAGAGAAAUCGUUAAGUCAUCCACCUGGGGAGUACGCCGGCAACGGUG
RNAcentral lists this ribosomal RNA (368 nucleotides) under uncultured organism. RNAcentral's name for it is "bacterial SSU rRNA". It matches the Rfam family "Bacterial small subunit ribosomal RNA", at positions 526 to 896 of the family's 1533-position model. The record is from RNAcentral.